UGGCCGUGUCACGUUGAAACAUCGGUUCUCUUACGAUCACUGAAGUUAAGCAACGUCGAGCCUGGUUAAUAUUUAGAUGGGUGAACAGUUGAGAAUACCAGAUUCUGUA
Molecule: non-coding RNA, 109 nt
Organism: Acanthosepion pharaonis
Lineage: Eukaryota; Metazoa; Mollusca; Cephalopoda; Sepiida; Sepiidae
Source: the annotation of a GenBank genome assembly